CAGCCGCCGCGGGUAAUACAGAGGGUGCGAGCGUUAAUCGGAUUUACUGGGCGUAAAGCGUGCGUAGGCGGCUUCUUAAGUCGGAUGUGAAAUCCCUGAGCUUAACUUAGGAAUUGCAUUCGAUACUGGGAAGCUAGAGUAUGGGAGAGGAUGGUAGAAUUCCAGGUGUAGCGGUGAAAUGCGUAGAGAUCUGGAGGAAUACCGAUGGCGAAGGCAGCCAUCUGGCCUAAUACUGACGCUGAGGUACGAAAGCAUGGGGAGCAAACAGGAUUAGAUACCCCAGUAGUCCCUGUCUCUUAUA
This 301-nucleotide ribosomal RNA is filed under the name uncultured bacterium. Its description in RNAcentral is "partial 16S ribosomal RNA". It matches the Rfam family "Bacterial small subunit ribosomal RNA", at positions 509 to 808 of the family's 1533-position model. The record is from RNAcentral.